This 245-nucleotide ribosomal RNA is filed under the name uncultured bacterium. RNAcentral's name for it is "partial 16S ribosomal RNA". It matches the Rfam family "Bacterial small subunit ribosomal RNA", at positions 1 to 242 of the family's 1533-position model. The record is from RNAcentral.
UAGAGUUUGAUCCUGGCUCAGAGCGAACGCUGGCGGUAUGCUUAACACAUGCAAGUCGAGCGAGAAAGUGGCUUCGGCCACGAGUACAGCGGCGGACGGGUGCGUAACACGUGGAUAAUCUGCCUUCAGGUCUGGGAUAACCCUGGGAAACUAGAGCUAAUACCGGAUAAGACCACAGGUUCCAUGGAACCAAGGGUAAAAGGCGGCCUUCGGGCUGUCUCCUGAAGAUGAAUCCGCGUCCCAUC